This 5292-nucleotide long non-coding RNA is filed under the name Bemisia tabaci. Its description in RNAcentral is "lncRNA ENSSSA2NGG000256". Lineage: Eukaryota; Metazoa; Arthropoda; Insecta; Hemiptera; Aleyrodidae. The record is from RNAcentral.
AUGAGAGUGCUGACAUUCAUUUUUUGUGGCCUUUGUGUCCACCGUGGCCUCUGUGUCCAUCGGGGCCUUUGUGUUUAUCGUAGCCUUUGUGUUCAUCGUGGCCUCUGUGUUCAUCGUCGUGGCCUCUGUGUUCAUCGAGGCCUUUGUGUUCAUUGUGGCCUCUGUGUUCAUCGUGACCUCUAUGAUCGCCGUGGCCUGUGUGUCCAUCGGGGCCUUUGUGUCCAUCGUGGCCUCUAUGAUCGUCGUGGUCUCUGUGUUCAUCGUGGCCUAUGUGUCCAUCGGGGCCUUUGUGUCCAUCGUGGCCUCUGUGUUCAUCGUGGCCUUUGUGUUCAUGUGUAUGUACAUGUGUGUCUAUGUUGUGAUCCCCCUGUUCACUGUUGCCUCUUUGUUCUUGGUUUUGUGAAAGCCCCAUGGAGAUGCGUUGGUGACCGUUACCGCAACCACCAGGGCGACCAGGACAACCUGCAAAAUACAAAAAGCGAUGAAAACAUGAGUUUUGAUAUCAAUUAUUUCUCUAUCAGUGCCAGUGCAUCGAAAGAAACUACCUUUACUCGCAGUUUUAUGCACGUGCUCAUUAAACUUUACUUACUUCUUAUUAUCAUUUAUUUCCCUCAAUGGGCCACUAGACAAGGUACGAAUUUCAGCAUUCUGUUACAUGUUUCUUAACCAAAAUUUUACGUAAAACACGAUACGCACAACGAAAUUACCAAAAUCAACUCCUUUCAAAGAUAUUUAAUGAUUCUUGAUGCGUUAAUUCAAACCACCCGCUCAUGAAAACUGAAUGCUCUACGUGAUUCACAUCGCGCGCUAAACGUUAUCAUGACAGUCUCUGCGAUACAAAAAUCUGGCAACCUCAAUCUUGACGCUUUGGCUCAGCUGUAGCAAAUUGCUAACAGUUUGAACAACACAUGGUGGGAAAUGAAGAUUGCUCGAUUAAGAAGCUUGCUGAAACCGUUGCAGUGCGCGAUUUGACUCAUGUAGAGCUUUGAGUUUUUUGUUAACGGGCAGUUCAAAUUCCUCGUAACCAAUGUGAAAUACAAAUGUUAAUAUCUCCGUUAGGAGUUGAUUUCAUUAGUUUUCGUUGCGCGAAUCGUGCUCUACGUGAAAUUCUGGUUAAGAAACAUGUAUUAGAAUGCUUAAAGUCGCACCUUGUCUAGUGGUCCAUUCUAGAUCUAUCAGACGAAUCGAAGCCCCAACUAACUUCCGAGCCAUGUAUUCCGCAUCUGCUGCAUUGAGCGAAGACCGUAUCAUUCGCAACGCACAAAUUGAAAAACGUGUCUACCUCAUUUAGGCGUUCGAACACCCAUGCCAGAACACUUUCUUCUCCAUUCCUUUAAAACCUGUUCCUAGAAAACUUUAAACAAAGUGGGCGAGACACAACAACCCUGCUUUAAUCUUUUGUUUACAUAACAACCCUCAUUUGGACUACAUUUUGCAAUGAUAGGAAUUACUCUGGCUCAUCCGCGAAAACACUUAAAGCUUAAGGAUACGAAUGGCUCAUAUGAUGUCUUUAAACCGAGCCAGAAUUUGUAGUUCCUAAUUUAUUGCAAAAUUUAGUCAAUUUGAACAGCAAUUACCUAACGACAAACUCUCGCAUUAGGUCACUCAUUAGAUCAUUAGACAAUCUCUUGCGUAAAGAAGAGUGACAGGUUUCACUCUACUGAAACAUUCACGCGCGUGUAGCAGAUUAUUUGUUGAUUUUUUUUUUUAAACAUCGGAUUUUUUUCUUUCUUUCUUUCCUAUUUUGUUAUUCCUCAACUAAGCAUAUACUUUUUAUAAUGAUUUGGUACACAAAAAUAUGACAUAGUUUUAACAAAGGAAACGAAGGAAACUUUGAGACUGCGAGCAAACACAUGUGUAACAUUAGAAAAGGCACUGUAGCAAAGAAAUGAUCAAAGUACAAGAUGAAAGGUUACAUUCUAAGUGAUGCGCAUGUGGACUGCAUUUUGCAUUUUGAAACUCUAAAUUCUGGCUCUUCUGGAAAAACACUGUGUUCAUAAGGAAACUAAUAGCAAAUACGUCGUUUUUAAACCGGCUAGAAUUUAUAGUUCCAAAUUGCAAAAUGUAGUCCAUUUAACAGUCUGAGGAAACCCGGGUCUACCGUUUGGCAACUCUGGUGAAGGAAUAUUUUCCAAACUUGAUUUAACUAACAAUUGGACUUUAUUUUGCAAUUUGGAACUAUAAAUUCUAGCCCGGUUUAAAAACAACGUAUGUGCCAUUAGUUUCCCUUUGCAUAUAAGUGUUUUUCCAGAAGAGUCAGAAUUUAUGGUUCCAAAUUGCAAAAUGCAGUCCAAUUAGCGUUCUCAAUAAUAAUGCUGAAAGGAUCGUUCAGGCGGCUUUAACUCUUUUUCCCUCGGGUUCGAAAAAAUGUAGACACUGAAAGGAAAGUGCCCCAGCCCCAACAUAAUUUUGCGAGACCUGUGGGAAGGGGCAUGGGCAGGGUAGGUAUCUGGAAAGGGAUGCCAUAAUCGGUGAACUGAAAUCUCCAACUUGUUUAUAAGCGAGAUUCAAUGCCUCAAAGCUAAACUAAUAAGAGAUAUCUCGGAGUGACCGUAGGGUUCGGUCAAUUUAUGCAAAAAAUUCAGUUGAUCGAAUCGAGAGGAAAUCAACCCCCACAGAGAUAAAAAAAACUUAGGUCACAAGGAACUUAGCCUCGGUUCAUUUUGAGCCUCAAAAGUUUUCGUUUCAGGUAACUGAAGUCUACGGUUGAAGGUUCAGAACGUCGGUUUAGAUAACGGAAGUCUUCGGUAAAAAGCACGAGCCUAAGUAUAAACAGCAAAAAACUGAUUUACAUAAACAGAAGUUCAACCACUAAGACUGAGAACUUCAGUUACUUGGUGCACUAACGUUACUAACUCAGUUUCUAACGUUAAUGGAAUAAUGAGGGAAAAGUAGCCUUGACACCUCUUUGCAUGGUUUAUUCUUCAACAACGCCUUUCGAUUUAAGAGGAACAUCCAUUCACAUGUUAAAAUGGUGUAACGAACAUUUUUGGUUUACAGAAAACAAAAUACCAAACUUUACAGGAAGCUUUGAAAUUUUACGAACUUUUCAACGAACAAUACCAUAAUGAAGCUUUUCAGUGAGUAAAUUAGGUUAGCUGGGCGCUGUUUAAAUUCGUAGGUAUCUUGAAGUUGCGUAAGAUUUGAUUGAACAAAAUUUAAGUUGAUCCGAUCGAAUGAAAGUUAACCCACACGGAGGGGGAUGGAAUGGUUAGGAAGACACAACAUCAGUUCAUAUGGAACGCUAAACUUAGGUUUCAGGCGGGUUUUUUCUUUUAGUUUUUGUAGUUUUUUGCCGCACGUGACGGUAUUAAAGUAUUUAAGGAAAUGUCCCGAUAUGGAAUACGUAAAUACCAAAUUUGUGCAAUAAAUAAUUUGGAGGUUGUUGAAACCAAGUUUCUUUCCCCGUGCAAUGUGACAAAAAAACACGAAAAUUUCAACUGCGUUUGAUCCCCCCCCCCCCCCCCGAUCACAUCACAUAGUGAUAUACCUGAACCGAAGUUCAAUGCCUAUGACUUAUAACUUCAGUUUCCUAGACUGAUAGUUGCUGUGCACAUUUUUUCUAUCGCUUGUGAUGGGUUUAAAAUCUUUAGGGAAAUGCCCAGAUAUGUAAACGCGUUCUCUUGAACAACAAAAUUGUUCAAGAAAAAAUAUGGAAGUUAUUGUAACGAUGUGUUUUCCCCCUGCAAAAGGAACAGCAAACACGAAAAGAAUUUUUUUCCCCCGUGUAAAGUGACCAAAAACACGAAACGAGGUUUUUCUAACCUUGCAAAGUGAUCAGAAAACACGAAAAUUUCAACCGCGUUUGAUUAUUUUUCCCUCCCGAUCACAUCAAAUGGUGAUGUACCUAAACCGAAGUUCAAUUCCUAUUACUUAAAACUUCAGUUAUCUAUGCUGAUAAAUUCAGUGUGCCUUUGUUAUGCAUCACUCGUGAUGGCUUUAAAAUAUUUGCGGAAAACCUCAGAACUGUAAACACCUUUUCCUACACAACAAAACCCCACAAUAAAAAUUUGGAAGUUAUUUAAGCGAAGUUUUUUAUCUUCCGUGCAAAGUGACCAAAAAACCCGAGAAUGUCAACCGCGUCCCCGAUCACAUCAGUUGGCGAAAACUCGAGGUUUUCAGAUUUCAAGGAAUCAUCCAGAUCAGCAGAAAGCUUUUCCUAAACAAACAAAACUUCACACCCUCCCCCCCCCCUCAAAAAAAUGCAAGUUAUCGAAGCGAAGUUUUUUUCUAUCCAUGCAAUGCGACCAAAAAAUCCGAAAAUGUUAAGCGCGUCCCUGAUCACAUCGCACUCGGCAAAAAAUCGAGGUUUUCAGAUUUCGAAGAAACAUCCAGAUCCGCAGAAACCUUUUCAUAAACAACAAAACUUAAAAAAAAAAUAAAUAAAUAAAAAAAAAAAAAAAAAGAAUUGAAAGUUUUCGAAGCGGAGUUUUUUUUUAUCCGUGGAAGGCGACCAAAAAACAGGAAAAUUUCAAUCGCGUAAGAUUUUUUUUUCCCUCCUCGAUCAUCACGGAAAAAAAGGAAAUGUUGAUUUAGUAUCGAUUUGUUAAAAACAUGUCCGACAAGUUUCAAAUGCUGAUUUUACAUUUGGAGAAAUGCUAACUUAACUACGCCCACUGUAAAACGAACAAAUUCAAAUGUUCUCUCAGCAUUUUUGUAUUGUAAAAUCAGCAUUUGAAACUUGUCGGACAUGUUUUUAACAAAUAAAUGCUAAAUCAACAUUUCUUUUUUUCCGCGCACAUCACUCUUGAGAAAUGUAAACAAUGUUCAGCACUCACCGUGAAACUUAACUUCAUUUCGAUUCGCGUGAAAUUUAUCACAAAACACACCUGAGCAGAAUCAGACCGAAAGGGUAUCUGGCGCGAACUCGGCUUUCGUUCGCUCGUGGAUCGCUCUUAUAUUUCAUGAAUGUAUUUUAUUUUAUUCUCGUCAUCAUCUACUUAAUUCCGAGCGCGCUGCAUUGCGUUACACACAGUGGCGUGGGGUGCUUUGCGAUUCAUCGAUUUAUCUGCCAUUUAAACCCACGGAAAAGGAUCGAUAUUCAGGGUGCUCGCAACGAGCAACUUAAUCGAUUCUUUACCCCAGCUUCAAAUGGGAGAAUAUCGAUAGUCGAUCACUCGCGCCACGCCACUGGUUACACAGCGGGAGGCGCCAGGAAAAUUCCGUCGCAGAACGUCCACCGGCCGGUCUUCGAUCGUAAGUAAUGGAGGAUGUCGCCAAAAAAAAAAAAACCUGUCUAAUUCUCUGCCAUGUUAAGGAAAAACGCCUUAUGAACCUUCAAACGUUGCCAAA